GUGAAUCAAGGAGACCUGAUGUUCAUCAGGCUUCGAACCCUUCACAUCCAAACACUGUGCACUGCUUCAGAUGAAUUCUACCCAUCGGUAGUUAUUAGUCUGUCCUUUCUUACUAACUCUGGUCAUUGCAUGUGAUUUAUUUGUAAUAUAACA
Molecule: unclassified non-coding RNA, 153 nt
Filed under: uncultured fungus
Lineage: Eukaryota; Fungi
Description: sequence contains ITS1, 5.8S rRNA gene
Source: RNAcentral